AGAUGAGGGCAUUGGAUUCCAGCUGAAUCACGCGCUGCGGCGCCCCCUGGCAGCUCCAAGUGCUGCUCUCGCCUGGAGUUGGAUGGUGGCCAUUUUGUUAUCAAAAGCUAUGGCUGGGCAGAUGACUCCUUAAUUAUCGGAGAAUCAAAGUGGACGGAGAUUCAAAAGCAUGGCAAGUAGUGACCUGCCAUUCAUCUGGCCCCAGUGCAACACAAACCAGAUGGACACGGCCCGUCACCAAGUAACAUCUCCAGAAAGCCGCGUCCCCCUGCCAGUCCUCCCACCCCAGAGUCAGAGGAAGAUGAAAGGUACAGCCAUGGGGAGACCGGUUGUGCCAAACAGCGCCAGAUCUGAUCUGAUGAACAACUGCACAGGGAAGGAAUCAAAGUGGCUGGAGGCGCUUGGUGUUUUAGUUGAACAGAAGCUGUUGGAAGAUCGACUCCAGUAGGCUGUAAGAGGAGAGAGGCUGGGGAAUGCAGUGGAUAUUACUACUGUAGCUAAAUAGACAAAAAAUAAGAAGUUAUCAAUUCCAUCACUAUAGUGUGUUGAUUAGCUGGGUCUUAUAUAGUCAUAUAAUAGGUCAUAUACUGUAUUUCAUUCUUAUUAAUACUAGGCCUAUUUUGUUAAUCGUUUUUAAUUACCUUUUGUUGAAUGUAUAUCACUAAUAUGUACAUAAAGUGUGUUCAUGAAC
Molecule: long non-coding RNA, 691 nt
Organism: Oncorhynchus keta (chum salmon)
Lineage: Eukaryota; Metazoa; Chordata; Actinopteri; Salmoniformes; Salmonidae
Exons: 2
Source: RefSeq, a predicted model, not a curated record